RNAcentral lists this ribosomal RNA (255 nucleotides) under uncultured bacterium. RNAcentral's name for it is "partial 16S ribosomal RNA". It matches the Rfam family "Bacterial small subunit ribosomal RNA", at positions 524 to 776 of the family's 1533-position model. The record is from RNAcentral.
UACGUAGGGACCAAGCGUUGUUCGGAUUUACUGGGCGUAAAGGGCGCGUAGGCGGCAUAUUAAGUCAGCUGUGAAAAUCUCCGAGCUUAACUCGGAACUGUCAGCUGAUACUGAUGUGCUAGAGUGCAGAAGGGGCAAUCGGAAUUCUUGGUGUAGCGGUGAAAUGCGUAGAUAUCAAGAGGAACACCUGAGGUGAAGACGGGUUGCUGGGCUGACACUGACGCUGAUAGCGCGAAAGCCAGGGGAGCAAACGGG